Rattus norvegicus (Norway rat) is the source of this 11218-nucleotide non-coding RNA. NCBI's taxonomy places the organism in Eukaryota, Metazoa, Chordata, Mammalia, Rodentia, Muridae. The record is from RefSeq and is a predicted model, not a curated record.
CCAGACACCCACAGCCACAGAGGGGGUUGCUGAGCUGCCUGCAAGAGUAUACUGUAAAUCUUCAGCGCAACAAGCCUGCAGUCACCCCUUUUCUGACUCCUUAGCCCUACUGCGGUUCCCCAGAGGGACCGCUGGAGCCUUGGGCUAUUAGCAUCAAGAGCAAAGGCAGAGCCUGCUUGCGGAGACAGUGUCAGAUCACACAUCAAGCUCACCAGAGGAUUUGGAGGAUUGUAUGUAAAUUGAAAUAAAUUCUCCAAAGCCUGACUGCAUAUAUUAUACUGGUGUAGUGUAGCCAGGUGUGCAGUCUGGAAUAAUGGCUAGCAGUGAACCAGGAGAGUCUACUAAAGACAGGAGAGCAAUUCCCCAUAGGACACAUUUUAUUUUUAGAUUAGAGGAAGGAUUAAAACACGCUGUCUAUAAUACAACAUUCAAAAGCGAGUGGAAGGAAAACUGGGGGUGGAGGCCACAUGACUUUGGGUUUUAGUAGGACAGCCAGCAUAUCAACACAUCACGUGACUGGUCAGCCUCUUCCUUCACCUAGCCACAAUCACUUUUUGUAACUCCCCUGCCUCAUCAUGGACAGUGUUUAAACUCCAUUAUAACAGUUCUGAACCCCAAUGGAUGCUAACAGCAAGGAUCAUCAAAGCGCAGUGCAUAGCCUGCUGGCUGCCCUUGGACUCUCAGAAGUUUGUUGGAGUUCUUGAUUAGAGUAGAGGGGCAUGCUAUCAAAACUUCAAAAUGUGCCAAGAGAGUGGUAACAACGCUUGAGAAAGACAGCCACCUUGGAGGCAACAGUCAAAGAGUUAAUGACUGGUCCAGUCGAUUAAAAAAAAAAGGAAAGAAAGAAAUGUCUCUUUACAUGUUUCUUCUGUUUCUUUAAAUCCAGACUGCAUUUAAGAAUUCACGGCCUCGGUCCCCAGCUCCGAAAAAAAGAACCAAAAAAAAAAAAAAAAAAAAAAAAAGAAUUCACAGCCAUCGUUAUUUUCCAGAGAGAGAGAGAGGUGGGAGGGGGGGGGUAUUAACUUUGGCAUACUGAAAAAAAACAGGCUUUAAACAAUAUUGUUAAAACCUGGCCAAUAAGAAGAGUCCAAUUACACAACAUGAACUUUAAACUGGGAGCCUUGCUUGCCGAAGUUCUUUUCCCUUUAUCCCUAGAUGGAGUCCUUGCUCAACACCAUGUUUUCUAAAUGUCCACUUGCAUCAUCAUAAAUGAUGAUGAAAAUAGGUACCAGGGUGGGUAUUUUUAAGCACGUUGUAUGUGGGCCGCCAGCAACAGACCAGGGGAAAUGCCACAUUCUGUUCUAGUUACUUUUUCUGCUCUGUUUUUUAAGCGUCUUUGUUCUUGCCUUUUCAUAUGGACCCAGUUAUGUGUGUUUUAGGAGUUGAGAGCUAAGGGGUUAAAUUGUUUUCCCCAAAAUUAGAAAAUACGAGUUAGCCAGCCAAAAGAGCACCUGGGCCUAAACGAGUCCACCAUAUUCUUCAGUACUUCAGGGCUCUAAUCUAGACAUUCAGGAAUCCUGGCCUAAGGGACAGAGAUUACUAGCAGCUUCUAGAAUGAGUCCUGAGAGUCUAAGCACCACUGUUUAAUGAAGAAACAGUCCUCUAAGGAGCCUCUGAGGCUUUCUGUCUCUAAUAUGAUGUUAGUCAUGAAGACUACAAGGCCCUUACUUCCCGUUUACUUGUGAAAAUCACUGCUAGGUAACACUUAAACCCUUUGCAAUUAAAAAAAAAAAUCACUUGAUUAGCAAUGUUUCUCCUGACUGAAUUAACAAAUGGAUUGUUUUUGAGACAUAAAUGAAGCAAAUUCAAGUUUAUUAACAUAAAGUGGGCAUAACUUAUUAGCUUAUUGAUCCCCACUUAGUGUGGUUUUACCCAAUAAACUGAGUAUCAAAGAUCAAGUAAAUAUUUGUUUCUCUCCUGUUAAUAGAACAGUGAUUUUUUUUCCUUUUGAAAUUUCUGAAAGUGUAAAGAACCUGAGAAAAAAAGCAUUGGUGGAAUAAAUUUUUAUAUUAUCCUCCAAGAAAAUGUUCACCCGACUGCAAACCAAAAACAAUAGAGAAGAAGCAAAGUUUCAGGUUGUGGACCUAAGAGGAAUAUUGAAGGAAUUAACCACAAAUGCUUGGUUUAAAAGUUGUCAUUAGCAUUAAGCCCCUUGAUUAGAAAGAGGUUUGGUUACUAUGGUGCUGUAAUCAUGCAGUGUUCUUCACAAGGGAGACACCUUCUCUGUGUCUGACACUUAGCAAGAACCAUUUUGUUGCGAGAACUUCAUGCUGAUUUUUUUCUUUAACUAAUAAAUGUCAUUAAAAUCGUGUUCAUAUUUUGGAUCUGGGGACUUGUAAAAAUGAAUAUAAGCUGAGUGUUUAAAAUUCAUGAAGCCCACCAGAAGUUGAUUUUAAUCCAAUCUGCACUUUGAUCUUGUUGAUAAUCAAAAUGAACUGUCUUCCAUGGAGCAAUGAUGGUCUUUACUCUUCUGUCGUUUAAACUUGAACUGCCUUUUCUCCCCACACUGAUUUGUAUGUACAAGCAAAACUUGAGUGUCCUUGCAUACUCAGUCUCUGAAAGUGCGGUUAGCUUCUUCGUGUCCAGAAGCUGCUUAGCUCAGAAGAAAGAGCAAAGGUCCCCACUCAACCUUCCCAACCUUUUAUUAUCCUAUCCCACUUAAUCAACUCAGUUUCUUGAUGUGUUAAUAUCAAAAGGUUCCAGGAGGUACCUUUCAGCUCUCAGGAGCUAAUUUCCUCAUGUUCUCAAGAGGUUUUUAAUCUUCUCCAUAAAGGACAAACAGUUUGAGCUUGGGAGACAAGCUCAGUGAGUAUUGUGCCUACUUUGCAAACACAGAGACCUAAGUUGGAUUCCCCAGGACCUAUUGCAGUUGGGCAUAGUAGCAUAGACUUGUAAUUACAAUAUGGAGGAAGCAGAGGUGAGGGAGUUCAGGGCCUCUCUGGCUAUUCAGUCUACCCUACAUGGCAAGUCCUUGGGCAAUGAGAGACAAUUAUCAAAAUAAAAUAAAAGGGGAACCAUGUUUGAAGAACAACACCUCUGGCCUCCACACACAUGCACACACAUGUUCACAUGCACAUGAACACACACAUGCAUACACAAACACACACACACACACACAAAAUAAAAUACAAUUUAAAAAUUUAAGGAGGAAAAUGACAGUAUAAAAACUGUUCGGGCUAGUUAGUGCACAGGAGACAGUAAAGCAGCUGCUCCUCUGGCUGUCAAGAAGACUGGUUAGGGCAGGAAUAUGUUUCUGAGGACCACACACAACUAAAGACCCCUGCAAGGCAGAAGACUCUGCUCCCCAGCUGAAGUGGCGCCCCCAUGUGGCAACAGAAAAACAGCCUUUUGAAAUACAAAAUGGGGCUGAUUGGAUGAGCAUCUCCAGUUGUGCGAACCCAUACUACAUCACAGUUACUGGUAGUUCUGUAUUCCACAAGUUUAAAUGUUUUAUGACAUUUACCCUGAGUCUUCUCUGAAGAGUUUCAUCCAAAAUGGGUCACCUUUUCUAUCAGAACCUUCCUCAUGAUCUUGAAGGUAAAAGACAGAACCUUUAAGGAAUGGAGCUUCCAGUUUUCCAAACAAAAUUAAUACCUUGAUUUAACUGUGGGCUGUCCAACUUUUGAGACAUCAGCCUGAAUAGAAGGGUCCCGUGAAUCUGAAUAUGUCUUUUUAAACCACCUGAAAGCUGCUAAAGUUUUUUUUUAAUAAAACAUCUAAUGUACCAGUACAUUGGCACAUAUUGCAAGUCCUAAGGAAGUCAUGCAGCCGUGCUGAAGGGAAAACUGAAUAAGUCUCUGUACAAAAUGAGCCUCUCUAGAUGGAAAAUAGAAGAAGGAUUGCUGAAAUCUAUGGUAAAAAAAUUCCCUGUAACAGCAUUCAGUGUUACAUGCAGAGUGGAGAGCACAAAGUAUUCAAGAAAGUUCUGUCUUUCUGUGGGGGUUUCUACUGCUAGGUUUAAACUCUUCAGUGUUCACUCUGGGCCCUUCGGUUUGCGAUCUCUAUAAGAAGGCUCCAUAAAAAGCAAAGUAUGUAUCACAGAAAUGUUUAUGGUGUAUUUAUGAAAGCCGCAAAUAUAAUAUAGACCAAAGUCUACAGACAGAAAUUAACCGGUUAACUUCCUGGAGAUUUUUCUGUUCGACUUUUGUCCAGUACUUGAAAAAAAAUGGGAUAGUGAAUUUAUGAAAAUAGUAGUCACCAAAAAUGUAAGUUUCUCAGAUGCUUGCUUUUAGAUGCAUAUGAGAGGGAAAGCAAUAAUAAUAAUAAUAAUAAUAAUAAUAAUAAUAAUAAUAAUAGCAGCUUCUCGCCACUGUUCCUCUAAGUGUCUUGUUUUAGCUCAUGGAGUCAUGAAAAUGCCCACCAUAUAAGCAGUGUUAUUGCCUCUUCCAUUAGGAAAACUGAGGCUCAAACCAGCUAAACAUCUGAGGGCAGAGUCAGUUAAUUAGUAAAUGGCACAGUUGGAAUUCAAAGCCAAGCAGUGUCCCUCUGUCUCCUGAACAUUAAAGAUUGUGGCAUGCCAUUCCCUUCAAGAUAAGCUCAGCGUAAACUACCGAGCUGUGUAACUGACAUUCGUUACAUAAAUGAUGAGGUCAGUGUUAGGACCAAUAGUUGAGAUCCUGAGAAUGGAGCCAGCUCACCUUGGACUCUACUCUGAUCCAAGCGACAGUUUCUGCAUAUGACUUAAUGUUAUCAGAGUGUUUGCUGAAUGAAAUGAUGUGGAUAAAUUAAAAUACAAUGGAACCCUGAGAAAAGAAAUCACUUUUAUGAAGCAACGAGAAAAAUAGGAGGGGAAAGUACAGUAUUAUCCAUCCUAUGUUGAGGAUAUGAUUCGAAGAGUUGACUAGAAUUUGUUUUCAUACAAAAUAAGCAGUCUAUAUCUUAGGAAUCUUGACAUUUGAAUGCAUCAUUCAUAUAUACAUAAUAUACUAUAUAUAUACACAUACACACACACGUAUAUAUAUGCAUAUAUAUAUAUAUAUAUAUAUAUAUAUAUAUAGAGAGAGAGAGAGAGAGAGAGAGCGUGCCUGGAGUUAUAUUACAACUCAAAAUCGUGUGGUUUAAAUGGUGUCUGACUUCUUUAAACUAUGAAGAAAUCCACCUCAAAGACACCCUCCUACAGGUAAUAAUGUAAAGUCACACAAAGGUAUAAAACAUCCUCACUCAUUCUUCCACCCUUUUCUUCUAUUCCACUCUUGCAGCUUUUAAAUACUUUAAUCCCCUAUCUUUCAUUUAAUAAAACAUCCUAUUUAUCCCUUUAAAUAUUUCUGGAUCACAGAUUGUCCCUUACAUGGUAUAUAAAUGUUUAGCAAUAUAGCUCUUUAAGCAAGGCAAAUGCCUUAUAUUUUAGUACAAAUGAUCAUUGUAAAUGGGUUGAUAAAGAGAAGUUAGAAUCUGAUCUCAGAAUGUGAUCUAGGUUUUCUCCAUAUUUAAUCUCCAUAUGUAAAUACCACUGGUAUUUGACUUACAUACCUGCGUUUGAGUCUUUGAAGCUAAAUUUGAACUACAGUGACUUCAUACUUUUAAUAACAAUCUAUGGUAUAUAGGUUUGGAGAAUUACUAUUCUGGUCAAAGAUUCAAUAUGUGUGUGUAUAUGUGUGUGCACACACUCGAGUAUGUGCAUGUGAGCAAAUGUAAUAGUGGUGAAAAUUAAUAUUGCUUAACUUUCAAACCUCACUGAAUUUCUUUAUGAUACAUACUUCCAAUUGUUAGCCUGUGUAUCUUUUUAUCAUGAAAUGAAGAACAGCAUUCUUUCCUGGUCCAUCAUUUCCUCUUCAAAGACACAAGCAAGAAAUCACCCAGGCUUGCCCAUCCCAUGGCACUAAGACUGUAAUGAUUCUCCUCUUUUUAAUUUUAGAAUUACCUAUGAACACUCUGCCAGUGUGAUAGCGUUCUUUUCUUUCUCUGUGCAGUCUCUUCUGACAGCAUACAUUCCACGCCCUCACCCAGGCUCAGAGAUGCUCUCGUGCUUUGAAGUUAGAGGAAGAGCAUCUCUGUACCUUCCAAUCCCAGGGUCAGGAGUUACUCUUGAAAGUCAAACUGCUGAACUUUUACUAACACACCUUUUUCUUGGCCAUUAAAAAUAAAACAAGACAACAACAAUAACAACGAAACAUUAUCUAGUACAAAAGCGACAGUUUUUCAAACAGAGGGGCUUGCUGUGAAUGUCUGCUGGUCUUAGAAUGGUCCCUGGGACUCACACAGAGGGAAAAAGUGAGACUGAUUCUACAACAUUUUCCUCUGACCUCCACGGACAUGCCAUACAUGCCCAUCCAUAUACAUCAUGCAGACACACACACACACACACACACACACAUACACACACACACACACACAUUUAAAACAUCAUUCUAUGUUAUAAUGAUAUAUAUAUAUAUAUAUAUAUAUAUAUAUAUAUAUAUAUAUAUAUAUAUAUAUAUAUCAAAAGCCCGAAUACAGCAAUCUAUUAGAAAUUCUUUAAAGUUAAAUAUGCUGGGUCUUUUUAAAAACUUAAUACACUAAGCGCUGUACAAGAUGGGGGUGAAGAGAGAACCAGAAGUGGUUUAUGACCAAACAGUAGGUAUGAAGUCUGUGCCUGGGGGAAAGGAAAUAAAGUAAAACUUCGCUCAAAAUAACUACACAUAGAGCAUCAACCAGUUCUGACCCUGAAACACUCAGUCUUACGUGGGAUGUCUCCAUCAAAUCCCUCCCCUCAGAGCUCGGGGAAUCCCGGAGAACAGGAAGUGGAAAUAUGGUAAGAGCCGGAGAGGAUGGAGGACCAAGGAAACAAGGUCCUCCUAACCUACAUGAUCAGUGCUCUCAUGAACUCACAUGCCCUGAACAGGCCUGCUCCAUGUCCUCCACGUGGCUGCUCCAUGUCCUCUACCUGGCUGUUACUGCUUCCAGCUUCGUGUUUUCAUGCAGUUCCGGAGUUUGCGAAUGAGUGCGCUUCUGACGCUUGUGCUUUUCCCUCAGCUCUGCUCCUUCUGAUGGUUCGGUCCAGUUUCCGAUGUGUUCAUUUUCGUUUUAUCUUAUCCUAUUGUAUUUUAUCUUGUGAUUUAAAAAAAAUGAAUAAACAAGAUAAAAUGACAGUCUCUGGAACUGAAAGAAACUUUCCACUCCACAUCAGUCUGGGAAAACAAGUAACCGGACAGCAGACAUUUGGGGCUGUUACCAUAUUAAAAUGUGGAUGAUCACCUCACCAAAUAGGAUGAAUUCUCUUAAUAGAAUAGAAUGCAGAAUUGAUCUAGUGAGUAACUUUGCCUGGGAUUUUCAUUUCUGUCACUUUUUUCUUUAGUGCCACCUUGUGGGUUAGAUAGUAACAUAUUUACAAGAGAGGCUUCAGUUUGGAGUCUGGUCCCUAUCUAUCCAUCUAUCUAUCUUUCUGCUGUAUUAAAUCUAGUAUUAGAAAAUAUCAUAGUAAAUGAUGUGAAACUAUCCAACCCCCUCCCCUUUUUCCCCUAAAAGAAACAGCCACUUCACUGAAAGAUAUUUGCCACAACUCUGCAAUCAUCCAUUCAAGACACCAGAAUAAUUUCUCAGAGAUUGAAAAUAUUGGAGUCUACACACACAAAAAAUCGAUGUUCAUUUACAGGAUAAUCAUCAAACUUAUCUAGGAUAGCAUAAGUGGCAAGCUCUACCUGGUGAUUUUUUUUCCAUAAGAAAGAUAAAAUGUUUUUUCUUAACUCGUGAUCAUCAUUUCUACAAUGGUGGCCUAUAGGAAUUGAUUAUAGGGGUUCUGAAGUGCUGCCUAAUCCUGUUUUCUAAAAGCUCCCAUAUCUGACUCAGUCAGUAUGCACUUACUUCUGGCAUCAGAUUGAAUGAAUUUACAUUGAGUUACCUUACUCGAUUUCUUCUGAAAUUAUGCUCCAGUUAUAAAGAGAAUAAGAAAAGAGGCAGGAGAGUGUGCGGUGAUGUCUUUUUUAAUUGAGAAACACAGGGAAGAUGUUAGGCUCCCUAACAUCCUCUAUGUAUUAGAGAUGCUAUAAUAAUCUUUUAUCUAGUGAGACAAACAGGAAUGGUUCUACCCGAACAUUCUGUCUUUAUAGCUAAGUCUGUAUGUGUGUCUAUGGGUGCGUGGUGUGUGGUAGAGAAACACGUUUUGAAAUUGCAUUGAUGAAGUCAUUUGAGGACAAGAGGAACUAGUAUGUAAAGCAGUCACCUUGACACCCUGAGUAGCUAAAUAUUUGCAUUUGAACUCUUGCCCUACUUUAAGAGUUGAAGGUUGUAACAUAUUAUUCAGAAAGUAAUUUUUCCUAGGCAUGGCCACAAGGUUGCAGACUGACCAAUCAUCUAAAUGUUAUCUAUGUGGCUAAGGCAUAAGUAACAACAAGAAGUUAAAUAUGUUUACAGAGUUACUAAAAUCAGAUUAUAGAAAUAGUCAAAUUCUACUUGUCAUACUGCCAAACCCUCAGAAUUUCACUCCCUGGUCAUUUUUAACAUGGAGGUCGUUUAUGUUUUAUCUCAGUAAGUGAUAGGUUGUUACUUCCAACUCAGGGAAAGGUAUUUUAAUCGUUAAUCUUGAAGUCUUUGGAUAUUUGAAUCUCUCCCUGACGUUCUGACAAACGUAGUCUCUCAGGAAUUUGGUCCAAAAACAAAGCAAUGGAUUUCCUGAAAUGGCAACAACGAAUCUGUCUUCCUCCAUUCUACCUUCCGAUGUCCACCACUGGACAGGUUCUGUCGCUUGGAAUUUCAUCUAAACAAAUAUAUCAGCAAAGGGACACUCUCUCGCCUAAGGACCACAUGUUGUCAAUUAUUCUCUUGUGCUUCAAUUUCAGCCUUAAUAAUAAAAGUAUGUGUUCUUUCACCACAAACUGGGUAAACUUUUGUAUAGUCUUCUCUAGAAAAUUCCUUGUUCCUGUGCACAGCUGGAGGAAUAGCAGCCACAGUCAAGACAAAUAAGAGAUAUGACCAUCUGAUGCAGUGCCUUAAUCCAAUGACAAAUUUCAUCUCUGUACUUUCAUAACAUUCUUAUCAUCCAUGAGGACUUUGAAAUAAGUUCCAAGAAGCAGAACUGCGUUCUAUCUUACUCCGUUACUGAUUUAAAUUAAGCAGAUCCAAAUUAAUUGGGUCACAUUAGCUAGCCACAGCCUUCUCCUUUAAUGUCCGACGGCUUAUACGCUUGCCUUCCGGUUCUUCUUGAAACUGAGACUGCAUCAGAUAUUUUCUUGACAUUUCUUGUGGAUUUCAUUUUCAGUUUCUAAGGGCCAUUUAUUCCUUUAAUCCUCCAAUGUUAGGAGGUAAUGAAUAUUGAUUCAUAUUCAGAAGUUCUAACAUUCAACUAGGUAAACUCAGUAAGGAAUGGCUACCUGUGUUCUAUUUUGUCUUCUAGACAGAAAAUCAAACCCAUUUAAAGCAAAUGAUGCUUUUUGUGUCAAUGUAUGUCCAGAGGUUAACAUGAUUGCUGAUAACCACUUCCUAUGAUCAUCAGGUCAUAUACGGGGAUGUGUGUGACCUAUUUAUCUAUACCUAUCUAUGAAGACACAGACACAAGGAGAUGAAAAUGGAGAUGUGGGCUUCCUAUGUUUACAUAAGGGUUUUAUCAGUCUCUGUCUACCCUGAACUGUAACAAAAUGCAUGAGCAAUUCCUCGUGCCACCCUCUCCUUUUUAGACCUUGCCAGGACUGGUCAAAUUAAAGAGCCGAUGAUAAUCAUCCAAAUUGAUACUCUAGCACCACAAUUAUAGGAUCUUUUCUUUAUUUUGGUGAGAUUUACCUAUAGUAGUUCCCUGUUUAACGUUCAGUGUUCUGUAGCAAUUCUCUUUUAAACCUUCGGUUGCAGCGGCUACGUCUUCCAGGAAGUAUAAAUAAUCAAGUCUUAGCAAUAUUAUAAAACAUAAUCCAUGUUAUGAAUUGAGCAGAAUGAGCCCUCAUAUCGGGUUGCCUACGGCUCAAAAGUUAAUGCUGCCGAAACACCUUGUAUGUAUUAGCUAGGUGAGUGGAAUUACAUUAAAAUAGAGAGUGAGUUGUGGUCUGGACCGCAGUCAUACUACAUCGGUCUCUGCUUGUUUGUCCUGCCUUUAAUUAGGGAGCUUCAGAAUUCCCGAAUUUCUCCUCCUGUCUGUUUCUGCACCUCCAAAGAGGACCAAGCCUGGGUUUCCAGUUAUGAACUACUUCAUUAAAUUUUUUCCAGAAACGUAGGAUUCUUCACUUCUUUUCCAAGAGUCCAAGAUAACUAAAGCAGCACUUCCUGAGACAGAGGAAGGAAGGAGUUCCCUGCCUACCGCCCUUCAUCAUCCAUUCAGCGGUCUCCUCUGUCUGGUGUGUCUUGAUCACUAUUGGCCUCCGUUCUCUGGACUAAACGCUUAAACUGCUCCUGAAGUGGAGGUACUAAUGGGCCUCCAGCAAUCGUUCUUUUCCUGGUCUCAAGAUUUAAAUGCCUCACUUGAAGCCUGGAAAGGAGGGAAGCCAGGAUGUGAGCAUCUGACUUUGAAAAACGUCUCUGUCUUCUAACCCGUCUUCUUUUGCAUAGAGGAGUAGGAACAGUGCGCCACACAGAGACAUCGUUAAAGGCAAUGAAGCUUCAAAAAAUCUAAAUUCAGAUUGCCUUCUCUACAAUUAGAGUAGCUACCUUUCUCUGGCAAUGACAGGUAAACUAGAAAGAACUCUACACCGAACAAUUAUCUUAAAUCCUAAGCAACAAUCCCGAUAGACAUGUCUGAGAAACAAUGGCCCUGCCUCGGAUUUGACGAUGUAGUUUACUUUGUUGUUGUUGUUGUUGUUGUUGUUGUUGUUGUUGUUGUUGUUGUUUAAAUGUGGCUUUUUAAAAACCUGGUAAAUAUACUAAAUAGUCUUCGGUUUUCCCCUCAGUGUCACUCCAAUAGGAUGGUGACCAGGACAAGGGCAAUGACGACAGUAACAAAGAUAAUGGUCAAAAGAAUGGAGGGAGUGCAACUAGGCAGUGUCACGUGCACCUUUAAGAGAACCACCGUUUGCACUGCCGUUUCCUCCAAGUCUGUCAUGCUCAAGAGUGAAUCGCUGCAGCCCAUCUGUACAACACGGCGAUUGUUCCACAUGGCACCAUAUUCAAGCACAGCAGAUGAUACAGUUCCUGCAGUGAAGCUGCUUUCAGUAAUUCAUGCCUCUUCUCUGACGAGGACUCCAAGUGUUCUGUCUCAGAGUCUGCUCUACACCUUUCAACAGACCACAGUUUUCCCAGAAAGGAUCCGGAAUAUGUUUCCCAACUCACAUGUGUUGCGGUAAAAAAAAAAAAAUAAAAAAAUAAAAAAGAUCAUUUGCUAUCA